This 466-nucleotide ribosomal RNA is filed under the name uncultured bacterium. RNAcentral describes it as "bacterial SSU rRNA". It matches the Rfam family "Bacterial small subunit ribosomal RNA", at positions 28 to 507 of the family's 1533-position model. The record is from RNAcentral.
GACGAACGCUGGCGGCGUGGAUUAGGCAUGCAAGUCGGACGGUAGAGCUUUAUCGUAAGAUAGAGUUUGAGAGUGGCGAACGGGUGAGUAACACGUAGGAAUCUACCCUUAAGACGGGGACAACCCAGGGAAACUUGGGCUAAUACCGGAUGAGAGUGCGAGAGAUUGCAUUUAAAAGGAUGGCGAAAGUUGUCGCUUAGGGAUGAGCCUGCGGUCUAUUAGUUAGUUGGUGAGGUAAGAGCUCACCAAGGCGAUGAUAGAUAGGCGGCCUUAACGGGUGGUCGCCCACACUGGGAUUGAGAUACGGCCCAGACUCCUACGGGAGGCAGCAGUAGGGAAUAUUGCGCAAUGGGGGGAACCCUGACGCAGCGACGCCGCGUGAGCGAAGAAGGCCUUCGGUCGUAAGCUCUGUCCUAUGGGAAGAAUAGGACGGUACCAUAGGAGGAAGCCCGGCCGUAACUACGUG